GAAGCCAAAUUUUCGCGGCCCCUUCACCCUCUCGUCACAACACUCUGUUGUUGCCAAUCUAUUUCACUCAGCAGUCGCAGCACUCAAAACCCUAGAGAAGAGCGUGCAAGUUCCGGCUACCCACCCACCAUGACAUUCAAGCGCAAGAAUGGAGGCCGCAACAAACACGGCCGCGGUCGCCAUUGCCCUCUCCAACCUCUCCCUCCCCUCCAACUACGUCGUCGCCAUGGUCCUAUCGCGCCUCGCCCACGGCCUCUCUGCCAAAACCCUAGCCUCCCGCUAUUCCCUCGAACCCUACCUCGCCUCCAAAAUCACCAACAUGGUCAUGCGCCUCCUCGCCACCAAGCUCUACCCGGAGUUCAUUAAGAUCCCGGUGGGGCGGCGUCUCCUCCUGGAAAUCGCUCAGGCCUUCGAGGAACUCCGUCCCCAACAUGUGUGGUGCCAUCAACACGACCCCCGUCCACCUCCGCUCCAACCCUAACCCCAACACCUACCGCCACCCACUUCCGCAUAAUAGGAAAAUGGGUACCAUUAUGUGUUUAAUGCUUCCAGCAACAUUCUUUCUAGUCUUGGGUCUAAGUUUAUAUUUCUUGAUGGUCAUGAUUAUAGCUAUCAAGAAAGAAUUACAGUUAAUGGUAAACUUGGUACUUCAUGGAAAAAAAAGGGACAUGUGGUUUCUUCUGAGUUUAUUAUUAUUAGUUAACACAAUCCAAUUUUUCUUGGUACCAUUGUUUUGCUCUUAGUAUGAUAUUACAUAAUUUACAUUAGAUUAAUACUGUUAAAUUUAUCCUUAUCAUUCCAGGAAUCUGUUAGAUUAACUUCUUAUAAAUCAUUGCAGCAAAGUAUGAUGUUGCAAUAUCAACAGCAUGUCCUGGACUUCAUUAUAUUGUGGUGGAAACAACAAAUGUAGCUCAAGCAUGUGUUGAGUUACUUUGUAGAGAGAAUCUUGGCAUUGCUACUUUCAUGAUAUUGGUUUUUUUUAUAUUAUUCAAUUUAUUUUUGUCUCUUAAUGGCUGUUUAAUAUAAUUAAUGGCACAAAUUAAAUUUGUUUACUUUUACUUCUGUACCCUUGGAUUUAUAUAAUCAUGACCGAGUUUAUGAUCUAGCAUAUAUCUGCUAAUUUAAGGGCAUGUUUGGUACAGGGGAAUUUUUCUGUUACUAUUUUUUUUUACUAAAUUUCAUUAUUUCUUGUUUUUAAAGAUUUAUACAGGAAAUGGCGAAAUCACUCCUUAACUUCUUACUAACAGCUUGAGUUUUUGCCACAGCUGGUCAACGUUUUGAGCUACUUGAAGUUAAGAACAUGGUGUUAAUAGCAAUUUUAUGUUGGUUUGGAGGUGGUCUACUCCUGGGUAGCAUCCUUUUAAAUCAAAGUUGGGGAGUGAAAGCAAGCUAGAUUCUGUCAAGUUUCAGUUUAUAAAAUAAUGCCCUUGAUUGAAUACAAUUUUUUUGUCAAUGAUUGAUGAUAUAUUCAGUUAUGUAAUGUUUUUGAUGUGCUGAUAGUACGCAACCCAGGUGUUUAUUUGAUAAAUAUAAUUUGGACAUCAUUUCUUUAUUCAGGAGAAGCAAGUUGACCUUCUUCCAAUGUUGAGAAAGAAAGUAAACACUCCAGGGGGGUUCCACGGCUUUUUGAUUUAGUGAAAGUUCAAGAUGAAAGAAUGAAGCUUUCUUUCUUUGCAGCAGUUAGAAACACUGUGGUUGCUAAAGAUCUUGACCAGGUACAAAACAAGUGGAACCAUGUAUGUGUCAAGUUAGAGCAAUUCUGAACAAAUUUAUUUGGCAUUUUUGUGAUUCAAUGGAUCUGCUUUGUUGGUCCCAGGUAGAACACGAAUCUAGAAGGGGCGGUUGAAUAGAUUCUACACUAAAAGGCUUCUAUUGGUUUUUCUUGCUUUCUUGCUAAUUUCUUUCUUUCUUAUACAACUUUUUAUUAAUCACAUUCAAAUUACAAACCAAAUAAGAUACAAAGUAUAUCAGAUUUACACAGCGGAAUAGAUAUUGUAAUCCAAAUUGAUUUUAGUAAUUACCUUCCUUCACUUUAUUACCAAAUUGCAUAUAUCAUAUCAGAUUUCACAAAUCAGCAAUCUAUAAUAUUCAAGAAAACAUUUCUUUUACUUUCUUGAAAUUAUUUUUAACAAUUCAAUAUGAAUUAUAACAAGAUAUGAAGGUAGAGAGAGAAAUUUCAAAGUGAUCUAUAUUGGUUCAGCCAUAUAAAGGCCUAUAUCCAGUUUUCGACUUAGCUCUCCGCUAAAUCCAGUCUUUUUACUAUAAUAUUCUUUACAAACACCAUGUACAAGAAGUAUUAUAAUCAGAAAAUACAAUCACCUAAUCUUGAUCCCACAAGAUUAUACAAUCACCAGAAUUCUUGCACCUCAAGAAUCCACUUGAUGAAACCUACCUCAAGAUUUCUCUUUCACUCUUACAUGAGAUACCCUUAUCUCAAAGAGUCACAUACCAUAUUAUACCCAACUAUACAAACAAGAGUAACAAGAUCAGAAAAGAUACACCUGUAGUGCAGAUUGAUCUUACACAAUGAAUUGUUCAACUUUCUUGAAUUUCUUGAACUUAUUUCAAGAUAACAUCUUAAUUUCUUGAGUUUCUUUACUCUUAAAUUAUUCUGAAAAUAUUUUAUCUUCUCUCAAAAAAUGAUUUUCUGAUUCUUGAAAAUGUUUUUCUUUAUAUCACUUUUUCCAUGUAUCUUUUCACAUUCUUUUUUUAGUUUUCAAAAAGAAUUAUAUUUAUAGAGAAAAUAAGAUUUCAACAUUAAAAACUCGUAAUAGUAAUAAUCUAUUACCAAUAUCAGGUAAUCUAUUACCAGUUUUUAAUGAGAAUUGAAAUCUGUGAAAUAAAAAUAGAGGUAAUCGAUUAUUGGUCUUGGUAAUCGAUUAUAUCGAGUCCUAGAAAUUAUAGAACUCAUUUUUCAACAGAAGUAAUCGAUAACUGAAGUUGGUAAUCGAUUAUCUCGAUGAUUUUUCAACUUGUUUCACUUGUUUUCACUCAAAAGUCACCAUGGUAAUCAACUACAUGAAUAGGUAAUCAAUUAUCAUAGAGAGGAUGUUGAAUUCCACUUCAAAACUAAGUUUCAGUAAUCUAUUACCUCACAUGGUAAUCUAUUACCAGACUUAAUCAUGAAUUCUUUUGAAUGAACCAAGUUUCAUUUUAUGUCAAAAUACAUUGUAAUCUCUUACAUUAUGUUUUCACAAGAAAUGAGAAACAUUAAGUUGAAAUAUGAGUUUUAUGUUUUCUAAAAUAAGAUGUAAUUUUGAAAUUAAUUCAUCACAAUAAGCAAGCACAUCCAAGCCUAAGUCUAAUAACAAGCAAUACAUUAUCUUUUUCAACAUAGGCCAUGAAAUACAAAAAUGAAUGAAGCAAACUAAAUAAAUCUAUACAAAUUUAAUGCUAACAUCAUCAAGACUAAAACUUCUUCAGUCUUCAUAAAGAUCUUCAUGAGAGACUUCAGUAAUUGACUCAGUAAUUAACUCAAGAAUCUUUAAUAAACUCAACAAUCUCAACAUGCUUGUCUUUUCUGACACAAAACAUGUCUUUUGUUCCUUUUAGUUGAAUGUAAGUACUGAGGAAGUUUUUUCAUUUCAUCUAUUAAGGAAUCAUAUAGAUACAAGCAAUUAUUAAAUAUCAUAAAUGAUAUAAAAUCAAAAUGUGUCUUUCAGACUAAGUACUUCAUUUGACUAGAUAACUUGAUCGUCUUAGUGUCCAAUUCAUCUCUGUGCUUUAUUCACAAAACUUCUCAAGAAAAACAUCUAUAUUUAUUGAAAUUAAAACAUGAACUUUUCAGUUUAUUUUUUGACCUAACUAUAUAAUAAAAUGAAUUUUUAAUUUAUUAAAAUCUUUCUUAUUAGAAAAGUUAGAAUGUACUUUUUUAAUUAAUAUGCAAGUCAUUUUGACACUAAGUCUUGGGAUUUUUAUCAAGUAUCUCUUCCAUGCUUUUUGAUUUUAUAAAGAGUAAAUUCCAUCAACAUUUUCAACAGUGUUAUAAAAUUGUGUGUGUUGUUACAUUAACAAUUUUUAUUAAAAAAUUGUCAAUAGACUAACUAAUUGUGAAUUGAGAAAAUAUGAGGACCAAAUAUGCAAUAAAAAAAUUGAUUAAAACUAUACAAUUAAAAAAUCACAAGAACAAAAAUUGAAUUAAAGUCAUUUUUGUAUUUGAUUCAUGUUUAGAAAUUCCUUAGAUGUGUCCAUUUGAUUAUGUCUUUUACUUGUUCUUCUCAGUUUUUUCUUUUCUUAUUUUCUUUCAUUUGUCAAACUAUUUAAAUCAUCUUACUUUAACCUUUGAUAUAUUAAUUUAUUCUAUGUCAAAAUGACCAACAUUCUGUUUUUUUUUCCAAAUGAUUGUAAUUUUAGUUGAAGUUUCUUAAUUACUUUCUUUUAUUUAUAUUAAUUGGCUUGCUUUUCUAUUAGUCUAUUUAUCAAUUAUAUUUGAGAUAUUGGUUUGGAGGAGAUUUCUUUUCAGGAAGCGAUAACAAAAGUCAAUAAUUUGCUUAUCUGAUAGAUAAUAUUAUUUCAUAAACUCUAACUAAAUUUUCGAUGAACUGGACAGCAUAUACAUUAAAUUUUUUUCAAUUUACCUUGAUUAACUAGAUUGGAAUUAAUUUUCAUUUUAGUUUAUCUUUCAAAGAUAUGAUAAUAAAAUUUAAAAAAAAAAAAAUAAAAAAAAAAAAAAAAAAAAAAAAAAAAAAAACAACAACAACAACAAUGGAUGAUACAAGUGGUUGUGUCAUGUGUUAUUUAACUAAGUUGUCUAUGGAAUAGAUUAUGGUAAGAGAAAAUUCCUUUUCAGGAAGCGAUGUCAAUAAUUUGCUUAUUUAUUUAUGUACAUUGAUUUUUUUUU
Long non-coding RNA from Cajanus cajan (pigeon pea), 4840 nucleotides. RefSeq lists it as uncharacterized. Lineage: Eukaryota; Viridiplantae; Streptophyta; Magnoliopsida; Fabales; Fabaceae. The record is from RefSeq and is a predicted model, not a curated record.